This 371-nucleotide ribosomal RNA is filed under the name uncultured bacterium. Its description in RNAcentral is "bacterial SSU rRNA". It matches the Rfam family "Bacterial small subunit ribosomal RNA", at positions 527 to 896 of the family's 1533-position model. The record is from RNAcentral.
GGAGGGGGCUAGCGUUAUUCGGAAUUAUUGGGCGUAAAGGGCGCGUAGGCGGCCCGGUAAGUCAAAGGUGAAAUCCCUCGGCUCAACUGAGGAACUGCCUUUGAAACUGUCGGGCUUGAGGCCGGGAGGGGGUAGCGGAAUUCCCAGUGUAGCGGUGAAAUGCGUAGAUAUUGGGAGGAACACCGGUGGCGAAGGCGGCUACCUGGACCGGUUCUGACGCUGAUGCGCGAAAGCGUGGGUAGCAAACAGGAUUAGAUACCCUGGUAGUCCACGCUGUAAACGAUGAGUGCUCGGUGUCGCGGGUAUCGACCCCUGCGGUGCCUUAGCUAACGCGUUAAGCACUCCGCCUGGGGAGUACGGUCGCAAGGCUG